CCGCAUAUGUUUCGGGUUUCGAGGCAACGUAACCGUGUUUUAGUUGGUUCGUUGUCGACGAAACCUGCACAAUGUGUGG
This 79-nucleotide microRNA precursor is filed under the name Oryctes borbonicus. Its description in RNAcentral is "mir-981 microRNA precursor family". It matches the Rfam family "mir-981 microRNA precursor family". The record is from Rfam by way of RNAcentral. Lineage: Eukaryota; Metazoa; Arthropoda; Insecta; Coleoptera; Scarabaeidae.